This 878-nucleotide ribosomal RNA is filed under the name uncultured bacterium. RNAcentral's name for it is "bacterial SSU rRNA". It matches the Rfam family "Bacterial small subunit ribosomal RNA", at positions 28 to 896 of the family's 1533-position model. The record is from RNAcentral.
GACGAACGCUGGCGGUGUGCUUAAGACAUGCAAGUCGUGCGGACCGUAGCAAUACGGUCAGCGGCGGACGGGUGAGUAACACGUGGAUAACCUGCCUGGCUCCCCGGGAUAACAGGCCGAAAGGCCUGCUAAUACCGGGUAAGCUCACGGGGCCGCAUGGUCCUGGGAGAAAAGCUCCUGCAAGGGAGUGGGGUCAGAGGGGUCCGCGGCCCAUUAGCUAGUUGGGGGGGUAACGGCCCACCAAGGCGACGAUGGGUAGCCGGCCUGAGAGGGCGACCGGCCACACUGGGACUGAGACACGGCCCAGACUCCUACGGGAGGCAGCAGUCGGGAAUUUUGGGCAAUGGCCGAAAGGGCUGACCCAGCAACACCGCGUGAGUGAAGAAGGCCUUCGGGUUGUAAAGCUCUGUUGCCCGUGAAGAACGGUGCUUUCAGGAGAUGGGAAGCACUUGACGGUAGCGGGUGAGGAAGCUCCGGCUAACUACGUGCCAGCAGCCGCGGUAAUACGUAGGGAGCGAGCGUUGUCCGGAUUUAUUGGGCGUAAAGGGCGUGUAGGCGGCUUUUUAAGUCUGAAGUGAAACGCCAGGGCUCAACCCUGGAACUGCUUCGGAUACUGGGAAGCUUGAGUACUCUAGAGGGCAGUGGAAUUCCGGGUGUAGCAGUGAAAUGCGUAGAGAUCCGGAGGAACACCAGUGGCGAAGGCGACUGCCUGGGGAGAAACUGACGCUGAGGCGCGAAAGCUGGGGGAGCAAACGGGAUUAGAUACCCCGGUAGUCCCAGCCGUAAACGAUGAGUGCUAGGUGUAGGGGGUAUCGACCCCCCCUGUGCCGGAGUUAACGCAAUAAGCACUCCGCCUGGGGAGUACGGCCGCAAGGUUG